GCCUGUCUAAAAAUAAUUUGUAAAUAUCUACUCUGUGUGUCUAGCUUCAGCACGCUCCUCUCUGUCAGCUUUGUGUUCACACUUGUCAUCUGCCUCUGUUGCUGUUUUUCAUGAAAUCAUCAGCUGUGGACUAGACAAAUGAGGGAAUUCACUGAAUGAUGUGCCUCAUUCUUGCUAUACAUGACCUUUUAAAUGUGACUGUGUUUCAAGAACUUUUUAAUUGGCAAGAAAGGAAAAAAUGGAAUUCAUUCAACACUACUUUGAGGAAGGACAUUCACAUGCCGUGAUUAUGGACAUGCUGUUCAUGUACCAUGGCAUAAAUAUUCACCUGUGCUCUCUAAAUACACACCUCAAGGAUGCAGGUAUGUUUAGAAGAAAAACUAUUCACCAUUAAAUGAUAUAAGGAAUGCAAUAAGAGCAGAGCUGCGUGGACCAGGACUGUUGUUCGGCUACUGGACAAUGUGUUAAGUACUUGUGCAGAAACACAGAUUGUGUGUUAAAUGUUAUGAUGUUAUGCGAUUGCUGCAAGAACUUAACCCACAAGAACAGAACAGAGGACACUUCGUAGGUUUGUUUGAUGCACGUAUCACUCCAUGGGACCAAACUAUCUGUGGCAUGUUGAUGGUUAUGAUAUACUAAAGCCAUUUGGUUUUGGCAUAUCAGGAUGCAUUGCAAGUUUUUCAAAACAUAUCCUCUGGCUUACUUAUGGGUCUACUUACAAUGUCCCUGCUGUUAUUACACACAACUUCAUUACUUGUGUUUAACCCCUUGGUUUCGUACCUAUGAGAAUACAAACAGACUGUGGAAUGGAAAAUGGUACAUUUCCAGCAAUGCAGUGCACUCUCCGUCAUCAUCCUUCAGACUACUAAGCUGGCUUGAAUCAAGAAGUCACAUGUAUAAUACAACAAUGAGCAAUCAACACACUGAAUCUUGAUAGUCCGGUUUCAGAAAAGCAAGGGCUCUGUUUUGGAUAGAACUCGUAAGGGACCUGAAGAAUGAUGGACACUUCAAUGGCAGUAACAAACACCAAUGCCUUUUUCAGUUCUGCUUCCAAAAUGUUCUACAGGCGGAUUUGGAUGAUUGUGUUGAGCUCUGCAAUGUGCCCUGGGGGUGUACCAAAUGAACUGUGUCAUCUACCACACAGGUAUGGAUCAAGAAACUGUGGCAUUGCAGUUGAAGAAGAUGAGUUAAGUGCUUUUCCCGAGACAAGGCUGACAAAGCAGUUAUGUAGUGACAAAAACAUCCAGGAAUAUCUAGAAUUUGCAAUGGAACACAAUCAGUUACGGUGGCCAGAGAAUUGGGAGGAAGCAUUACAACUCUACUUCACAUUGAAGGAAAUAGCAGGCCUCUGAGCACGAGUAUGUAAACAAAAGACAGUAGAAACUACAGAGUACAACCUUGGAAGAACUUAAAUAAUAAACUGUGACAUUGCAAUAAUAAUGUACUGAGAAUACGGAGGAUGUACAGUUGACUUAAAUACAUCCAAAACCUGGAGAAUUUUGGAUUCCAAAAUCCAUGCGAGUCUGAAAAAGACUGAAUGUGUCUAAGAUUGGUAACUUGAGUGUGUUUGUGAAUGUAUUGAUUGUGAAUGUGAAUGUUGUUCUAAACCAUACAGGUUUAGAACAACUUGAGGCUGAAUAAAUUGCAUUUUUGUGUGAACUAUUGCUUUAAAGAUGUCUGAACUUCAUCUUAAACAGAACAUGCGUUUGAUAGACUACAAAUAACAAACCUUCACAAUCGAGAAGGUAGUCUGACCAAAUGAAAACGUACUGGAUUCCUUUAGCCUCUGGUUACUACCUACUGGGCUGAAUUCUGCUUUGAAGAUUUUUUUUUUCAAAUCAGUCACUGUCAGCUUCUUCUCAGUGUGGCAGAGGAGACAAAACACUGGGAUGCUGCUCAAGUGCUGU
This is a long non-coding RNA of Cyprinus carpio carpio, 1907 nucleotides long. Lineage: Eukaryota; Metazoa; Chordata; Actinopteri; Cypriniformes; Cyprinidae. The record is from Ensembl.